RNAcentral lists this unclassified non-coding RNA (20 nucleotides) under Mus musculus (house mouse). RNAcentral's name for it is "oocyte_clustered_small_RNA6014". Lineage: Eukaryota; Metazoa; Chordata; Mammalia; Rodentia; Muridae. The record is from RNAcentral.
UCUUGGUGGCCAUUUCAUAG